CCUACGGGAGGCAGCAGUGGGGAAUAUUGCACAAUGGGGGAAACCCUGAUGCAGCGACGCCGCGUGAGUGAAGAAGGACCUAGGUAUGUUAAGCUUCAUCAACAGGGAAGAAAAUGACGGUACCUGAGUAAGUAGCCCCGGAUAACUACGUGACAGCAGCCGUGACUAUACGUAGGGGGCAAGCGUUAUCCGGAUUUACUGGGGUUAAAGGGAGCGUAGACGGGAGGGCAAGUCAGGAGUGAAAGUCGGGGGCUCAACCGCACGACUGCCAUUGAAACUGGACGGCUGGAGUUCAGGCGAGGUAAGUGGAAUUCGUGGUGUAGCGGUGAAAUGCGUAGAUAUUAGGAGGAACACCAGUGGCGAAGGCAGCUUACUGGACUGUAACUGACGUUGAUGCUCGAAAGCGUGGGGAGCAAACAGGAUUAGAUACCCUAGUAGUC
RNAcentral lists this ribosomal RNA (440 nucleotides) under uncultured bacterium. RNAcentral describes it as "partial 16S ribosomal RNA". It matches the Rfam family "Bacterial small subunit ribosomal RNA", at positions 338 to 795 of the family's 1533-position model. The record is from RNAcentral.